This 2008-nucleotide long non-coding RNA is filed under the name Malus domestica (apple). RNAcentral's name for it is "long non-coding RNA (MDOM_LNC019084)". Lineage: Eukaryota; Viridiplantae; Streptophyta; Magnoliopsida; Rosales; Rosaceae. The record is from RNAcentral.
GCAGGAAGAGGCAUUGGCCCAGUUCCAGAUAUAAGGCUGAAAAAGCCUUCAUUAAAAGCAACGAAGGAAACCACAUCAUCACAUUAUCACAUGCAUCCUAUGAUAUUUUAUUCCUAUCUUUAAUCAUUCCAACCCAAGACUAUAUUGUAUAUAAAUCAAGGGGGACAGGUAUCGUGGUUCUGGUACAAAGUAAGACAGAUCUUAAGGUUUGCUACAGCAAGAAAAACCCGUGCUUUCUCAAGUAGGGACACUGCCCUGCAAAAUGCCCAUCCUCUUCACCGACAGACAAAAAGGUUUACACUUUGGAUGGGGUCUCUGCUCACAGUUUUACUACUAGAGCAAUGAUGAACAAACAAAAAAGAUAAGAAUUUUAUUUUCACAACCUGCAAGCCAUCAGAAGAUGCCUACUCUAAAAAGAUAAGUUGUCUAUUAUUAUUUCUAUCAUGAUUCAUUUUGUCUGCCAGGUGAAGAGACAGAGAGGAAAGCAGAAAGAAAAGCAAAAGCAACGCACCAACGAUCUGCAACUGUCGAAGCUUUUGUGUCGAAACCUUUGUUUUGAAUGAUGUAAUUUAUUUUUUGUAUUUGUCAGAAACAUCUGUAUAAACCCCAUCAGAGGGUAAAAAAAAAAAAAUGGUGAAGCCCAAAAUAGCUCCAACCAGGUGAUCAAAAGUAUGCCCAGUACUCCAUAAUUAUUCGACAACCUGCUGAUAUUACCACCAACCAGGUGAUCAAAAAUACGCUCAGUACUCCAAAAUUAUCUGGCAACCUGCCGCUAUUACCACCAACCAGGUGAUGAAAAGUACAACCCGUACUUUAAAUAUCAUUUGGCAACUAGCCAUUCAUGCCACCAACCAAGUGUAAAAAAAGAACAAUCCGUACUCUAAUAUCAUUUGGCAACUAGCCAUUCAUGCCACCAACCAGGUGAUGAAAAGUACAACCCAUACUCUAAAUAUCAUUUGGCAACUAGCCAUUCAUGCCACCAACCAGGUGAUGAAAUGUACAACCCGUACUUUCCUUCAUGCCACCAACCAGGUGAUCAAAAGUAGGCCCAGUACUCUAAAUCAUACAUGAGCAUUACUCAUGUCAUUCAUACAUAAACAUUCAUGAGCAUCACUCAUGACAAUCAUACAUAAACAUUCAUGACAAUCAUACAUAAACAUUCAUGACCAUCAUUCAUGUCAACAUUCAUGACCAUCACUGAUGACAACAUUCAUGAGCAUCACUCAUGACAACAUCCAUGAGCAUUACUCAUGUCAAUCAGCUUCAAAAGCUUCAUUUACAGAGCUCUAGCUUCAAAAGCUUCAUUUACAAAAGCUCCAGCUUCGAAAGCUUCAUUUACAAAGCUCUAGCUUUAAAGCUUCACUGAUAGGAGCAUAUUUAUGCGACUUAGUUAGCUUGUUCUUGUGCAUUUACGUUGUAUUUCCUUAGUUAUUUUAUUGUUCAAAGUUAUUUUUGUGUGUUUUCAGACUCUAAGUACAAAGUAUGCAAGAUGAUGCAUUUUGGAGGCCUUUGGAGCAUGUUUCGGGCUUGAAAUGGAUAGCAAAUGCAUGGGCCAAGUGGAUGAACGAAUUUGAGAACUAAAGAGGCCAAGAAUAUGAAGAAUUAUGGUCCAAAAGAUGAAGAAAACAGCCCAAAAAUCUGUCACCCCAACUUGCAUUCCUUGCCAUGCAAACCACAUAGAAUUCCCUUUGGAUUCCAUGCCAUGCUUGAUCACUCUUGUCCCCUACAUAAUUUCUAAUUUCAUGCUUCAAUUCAUUUAAUUAUUACACUCAAUUGCUUGAUACCUCUUGUUCCCUUCACUCAUUAGAUUUUAGACAACAUUUACAUCCAUUACAUGCACCAAUUGAUGCUCCAUGAUUCACAUUUGGAAUCCAAUGCCAUGUGCAACACAUGUUGUUGCACCUUUGACCCAUUUGUUGACACAUUUCACCUCCAUUUCCAUCUCUAUGCAAUGUACACAAUCAUUCAUGCUCCCUAGCUACAACACCACUCCAUUUUACCCUUCACA